AGUGAAGCAGGCAACAGCUCAAAUUUGAAAUCUGGCCCUAGGCCCGAGUUGUAAUUUGCAGAGGAUGCUUCUGGCGCGGUGCCUUCCAAGUCCCCUGGAACGGGGCGCCAUAGAGGGUGAGAGCCCCGUCUGGUUGGCCGCCAAGCCUGUGUGAAGCUCCUUCGACGAGUCGAGUAGUUUGGGAAUGCUGCUCUAAAUGGGAGGUAGACCCCUUCUAAAGCUAAAUACCGGCCAGAGACCGAUAGCGCACAAGUAGAGUGAUCGAAAGAUGAAAAGCACUUUGAAAAGAGGGUUAAACAGUACGUGAAAUUGUUGAAAGGGAAGCGCUUGUGACCAGACGUGCGUCGGGGUGUUCAGCGGGCGUUCUCGCCCGUGCACUCGCCCCGGCGCAGGCCAGCGUCGGUUCGGGUGGGGGGACAAAGGCGUUGGGAACGUAGCUCCUCCGGGAGUGUUAUAUCCCAGCGUGUCAUGCCCCCGCCUGGACCGAGGUUCGCGCUCCGCAAGGACGCUGGCGUAAUGGUCCCCAGCGGCCCGUCUUGAAACACGGACCAAGGAGUCGAGGUUUUGCGCGAGUGUUUGGGUGUCAAACCCGCACGCGUAAUGAAAGUGAACGCAGGUGGGAGCUUCGGCGCACCACCGACCGAUCCUGAUGUUCUCGGAUGGAUUUGAGUAAGAGCGUAGGGCCUCGGACCCGAAAGAUGGUGAACUAUACGUGAAUAGGGUGAAGCCAGAGGAAACUCUGGUGGAGGCUCGCAGCGGUUCUGACGUGCAAAUCGAUCGUCAAAUUUGCGUAUGGGGGCGAAAGACUAAUCGAACCAU
This 819-nucleotide ribosomal RNA is filed under the name Thozetella neonivea. RNAcentral's name for it is "partial 28S ribosomal RNA". It matches the Rfam family "Eukaryotic large subunit ribosomal RNA", at positions 92 to 943 of the family's 3401-position model. The record is from RNAcentral. Lineage: Eukaryota; Fungi; Ascomycota; Sordariomycetes; Chaetosphaeriales; Chaetosphaeriaceae.